This 250-nucleotide ribosomal RNA is filed under the name uncultured bacterium. RNAcentral's name for it is "partial 16S ribosomal RNA". It matches the Rfam family "Bacterial small subunit ribosomal RNA", at positions 57 to 305 of the family's 1533-position model. The record is from RNAcentral.
GCAAGUCGAACGGCAGCGGGAGGAGCUUGCUCCUUGCCGGCGAGUGGCGGACGGGUGAGUAAUACGUAGGGAUCUGCCUAAAAGCCUGGGAUAGCCUGUGGAAACGCAGGGUAAUACCGGAUGUGAUUUACGAAUUAAAGCUGGGGACCUUUUGGCCUGGCACUUUUAGAUGAACCUACGUCGGAUUAGCUUGUUGGUGGGGUAAAGGCCUACCAAGGCUGCGAUCCGUAGCUGUACUGAGAGGUAGAAC